RNAcentral lists this unclassified non-coding RNA (296 nucleotides) under Hevea brasiliensis (rubber tree). The record is from RNAcentral. Lineage: Eukaryota; Viridiplantae; Streptophyta; Magnoliopsida; Malpighiales; Euphorbiaceae.
UCCUUGUCGAUUUCAAUCGUCGUCCAGAUGCUUUUGGCAUUGGGAUGAUUAAUCGUCAUGGAGCGCUCCUGCGUUCCGCCGCAGCAUAUCACAGCCGCGGCGGUNGCCGUGGUCCUUACGGGGGGGCCCGCCCGGCGGCGGACGCCGGGCCGCCGAUGGCCUGAAGCCUGCCCCUUUACGGAAAUAUCACGCCGUUCUUGAUCAUCCACAUNNNNGCGUCACCACGGACACGAACGUGCCGAUCAGCACCAGCGUCGACGCGGGUUCGAUCCAGGUGUCGUACUGACGCGCGAUCA